This 460-nucleotide ribosomal RNA is filed under the name uncultured bacterium. RNAcentral's name for it is "partial 16S ribosomal RNA". It matches the Rfam family "Bacterial small subunit ribosomal RNA", at positions 338 to 795 of the family's 1533-position model. The record is from RNAcentral.
CCUACGGGCGGCAGCAUUUAUUAAUAUUUUUCCCUUUCCUCUCGUCUGCCCCCGCCACGUAGCGUGAAGGAUGACUGCCCUAUGGGUUGUAAACUUCUUUUAUAUGGGAAUAAAACGUUCCACGUGUGGGAUUUUGUAUGUACCAUAUGAAUAAGGAUCGGCUAACUCCGUGCCAGCAGCCGCGGUAAUACGGAGGAUCCGAGCGUUAUCCGGAUUUAUUGGGUUUAAAGGGAGCGUAGGUGGAUUGUUAAGUCAGUUGUGAAAGUUUGCGGCUCAACCGUAAAAUUGCAGUUGAAACUGGCAGUCUUGAGUACAGUAGAGGUGGGCGGAAUUCGUGGUGUAGCGGUGAAAUGCUUAGAUAUCACGAAGAACUCCGAUUGCGAAGGCAGUUCACUGGACUGCAACUGACACUGAGGCUCGAAAGUGUGGGUAUCAAACAGGAUUAGAUACCCUAGUAGUC